Molecule: small RNA, 826 nt
Filed under: Pan troglodytes (chimpanzee)
Lineage: Eukaryota; Metazoa; Chordata; Mammalia; Primates; Hominidae
Description: processed transcript
Source: RNAcentral
GUGCAGCUUCAAGCUUAGGACCACCCACCAUGCCCAUCCAGGUGCUGAAGGGCCUGACCAUCACUCAUUAAGAACAGAGGAGGCUGCCUGUUACUCCUGGUGACGGCGUGGCUGCAGCCAUGGCUAGGAAAGUGCUGCCACCCACCCACCUGGGCCGGAGCUGGUUCUGCUCCUGCUGCAGGGACACUGAGCUGGCUAUCUCGGCGCUUCGGGCAAGAACCGCAACAGGCUCUCCUGGGUCCUGCAGGUUUACAGCCGGGCCCCUGCCUUGUGCCUCAGCUCUUGAGAGCUGCUGCUGCCGGGUGACCUGAUCCAACCUGAUAAGGUGCCAUCUUCAGCUACCACUGCAAGGCCCUGAGGGCAACAGCAGCAUGGCACUGCCCACCCAGCUGCUGAUGGCCUGGUGCCAGCUGGGAGUCCUCCCGGCACUUCGAGGCCACUGAGCCACUCUUCCAGCCCGGCCCACCAUGGACAGGGGUAUCCAGCUUCCUCCUCAACCUCGUCCUCUGCCCCUGAGCCAGUGACACCCAAGGACAUGCCUGUUACCCAGGUCCUGUACCAGCACUAGCUGGUCAAGGGCAUGACAGUGCUGGAGGCCGUCUUGGAGAUCCAGGCCAUCACUGACAGCAGGCUGCUCUCCAUGGUGCCAGGGCCUGCCAGGCCACCAGGCUUAUGCUGGGACCCAACCCAGUGCACAAGGACUUGGCUGCUGAGCCACACACCCAGGAGAAGGUGGAUAAGUGGGCUACCAAGGGCUUCCUGCAGGCUAGGGGAGGAGCCACCCCCGCUUCCCUGUUGUGACCAGGCCUAUGGGGAGGAGCUGUCC